GGAUAAGAGCCUCUUUGCACAACUGCGUGAGGAUGACAUGCAUCAAACUUACAGUAUUCUCCUUCUACGCAGGUGUGCUGGCUGUCACGUUGGUUGGUUAUUUAUGAGAGUGGCAACCACAUUCUAUAACUGAACUGACACCACUGAUCUAUAUAUAUAUAUAUAACUGGAUUGCUCAUGACGUCACAACGGUGAAGCCACCAUCUUUGUAUUCCCUAACAUUCUGUACUCCCUUUGGGUCUUAAUGGGAAAUCAUCUGUUUUUGCAGCAUUACUUUGAGCGGAGUACGUGUUACCUCAAUAGGAACAAGCUUAAGAAACUGAGUGCAGGCCUGAACACGGCCCAACUCGCAGGAAUAAUUUCUAAAGUGGUCAAUUGGAAUUCACGAGGAGCACAAGGAUAUUGUAGAAGUUAAACAAGGUAAGUUUGCAGUUUGGAUUUCAAUAAUCAUCCCAUUGAAUGUUAGAUACAACCGGAAUUGGUUUGCAACAGGAGGAUGUAUGAGGAGACAAUUGUCAGCCUGGCUUCA
Myxocyprinus asiaticus (Chinese sucker) is the source of this 529-nucleotide long non-coding RNA. RefSeq lists it as uncharacterized. NCBI's taxonomy places the organism in Eukaryota, Metazoa, Chordata, Actinopteri, Cypriniformes, Catostomidae. The transcript is spliced from 4 exons. The record is from RefSeq and is a predicted model, not a curated record.